Molecule: long non-coding RNA, 3329 nt
Organism: Esox lucius (northern pike)
Lineage: Eukaryota; Metazoa; Chordata; Actinopteri; Esociformes; Esocidae
Source: Ensembl
CCCGAUUACUUCAUGUUUCUACAAUGCCAGGAAACUGUUUAUAACGGCACAUCCUCCAUCCUUCUUUCGGUAAGAACACUUUACAUGAUUUUGGUGAUAAACCAUAGAUUAUGAUAAUUUUAGGACUCAAUGCUAGUAAGAAUUAGAUGACCUCAUUCUGGCAUGCCAGCGUUCCACUGGACUGAAGGGUUUUAAGGUGCUCAAGGUUUGAUUUGGGGACAUAUACUGUUGAAUAUGUUUAUGUACUGCUGAGCUGCAUCACUGUGAGGUAUGGUAUUUUCACAGCUACGCUAACCAAAUAUGUAGAAAGUAUGUUUCUGGGCGACAUUUGACAAAAAAAUUCAGGCCCCAUUCAAAAACAUGACAAAAUCUGCCUUUUUAAUUUGCUAAACAUGGCAAAGGUCAAUCUGUUUCUCUGCCAGAGCAACACUGCAUGUUUCUAUCCCUAGCAGGCUCCACUAUUGCAACCCUGUUACACAAAAAGUGUAGACUCUUUAUAAAAUGUAAACAAAAACACAACACAUUUGAAUUGGAUGCCAGCAAAAUGUUUCAAAAAAGCUGGGACAGAGGCAACAAAAGGCUGGAAAAGUUGUGUAUUGCAAGAAAGAGGAUGAGUCACCCAAAGAGGAUGAGUCACCCAAAGAGGAUGAGUUUUUCAGAAGUAAAGAUGGUGAGGGCAACUGCACCGGCAAAUAGUGCAACAAUUUAAGAUACAUAAAAUUACAAAAAAGUUUGGAGAUCUCAUCAUCUGCCGUACAUAAUAUCAUUAAAAGACCAUAGGUUUUUAAUGCAGCACAUAACUGAAGGUAAAGAAAAAAAGAAAUAACAGGUAAAUUAAAUGUAUGUUGUAGAUCCAUAAAAGCACAUAAUCCUUUUUGCUCCAUUGGGAAUAUGUAAUUGGUCUCCUUCCUAUUAGGAGAUUAUAAUUUCGGAAACAAUUGUGUACGGAAAUGCCAGAUAACAUUGGAAUUGGUCUGCCUCAUUAUUAAUUUCCAAGUAGAUAAAACAAUAGAAAUAAUAGGUCCAUAAUGGAGUCGAGCAUGCUUAAAUUCACCAGUUGGCCAGAUAGUUUCAGUGGUCACGUAAGUCAAAAUAAUUUCACAUUUUUCCUGAGAGUAGAAAGAUAGCUGAUUUGUACAGCAUAUACAAUGCACACAGUACACACACAUACAUACACACACAUUACUACCUGUGGGCAGCCAACUAGAAUGGAACAAGAGGGCUUUUAAAUGCACUACCAAAAUCACAUGACAAUGAAUUUAACCAAUUACAUUUUCUGCUGUUGUAAAAAAUUCAUGUUUUCAUACCUGGGACAUACACAGAACUACACAGCACUACCCUCAACCAAACUGGCACUUUCAAUCUCAGCAUCAAUGACACCAUUGUUUCUGGUUCAGAACUCUGCAGCCAGACUACUGACUCACACCAAGUCCCAGCAGCACAUCACCCCUAACCUCUGUGAGUUACACUGGCUUCAUGUCUCCCAACGCAUUGACUACCUCCUAUUGACAUAUAAAGCCCUAAAGAUUAUCGCCCAUGCCUACCUCUCUGAUGUUCUUCCAUAUCAACCAACACACACACUAUGUUCCAGUACUGCGGGACACCUCAUAUUCCCCAAGUCCAAGCUCAAAAAAUUUGGUGACAGGGCAUUCUCAAGGGUUGCUCCUCGUCUCUGGAACUUUCUCCCCAAAACCAUCGGUGACUCUGAGACUAUCCCCAUCUUCCAGCAACGCCUCAAGACUCAUCUGUUCAAAAUCACCCCUAGCCACGCCAAAUCCCACACUCUCAAUCUUCGUUGUUUUCUCAUAGUAUUUCUUUUGUAUCAGUUUUCCAUGUCACUAUUGUACAGCGUCUUUGGGUCCCUGAAAAGCACAAUAUGAAUAUAAUGUAUUAUUAUUAUUACACAGACAGAUGUGUUCAUGUUGGCCUCUUAGUGGUUGUAUUUAGUGUAUUUAUUUGCCAUAUAUGUUGUGUUGUUGUUUAUGUCUCUAAGACUACAGGAAGAAACAACAAUGAGAACAACAGGAAGUGUGUUGGUGGUCGUUAUCUGGUCUGUGACAGGAACUAUGGCAACAGAAUGUGGACAAACAAGCCAAGUGACGGUGUCUCCCACCAACCCAGUGUGGGGACAGGAAGUGAUAGUGUCCUGUAACGACCCCUGUAGUCUGAUUGACAACCAAAACCACACCUACAUCUGGUACAAGAACGGACACCUAGUCGAUUCCUCCAUCCAGCAAUUCAAUGACACCAGUUUUUAUACAACCAGUUACUCCUGUGCUGUAGAUGGUUCUGAGGAUCUCCACUCUCCUGUAGUUUGUGUUGUUGGUUCAAACUGUAUCAAUGUGACUUACACUUAUCAGAGAAUAAUUGCCCCAAAGGGCUCAACUGUGGAUCUUCCCUGCACAUACCAACAUCCAAAUGAGCACACAGUCAUAGAAAUUAACUGGUAUAUCCAAGGAGAACGUGAUGAGGGACCAACAAACCUGAGUUCAUUGCCAGAGUAUUCAGGUCGUGUGAAGUACCUUGGAGAUAAUGUGCGUGACUGUACCCUGAGAAUCACAGACCUGAGAGAGACUGACUCAGCUGAGUACAAGUUCAGAUUUAAAACACCGUAUGGAGAGUGGGGGUACAGCUUCCCUGGAACAACUCUGACUGUAACAGGAAUAGGACAUGCUCUCCUGUCUCCCUGGGUCCCCGUGGUUACAGUGGGGGCCGUCCUCACUGUUGCAGUUCUUCUAGUCACCAUCUACUGUACCAUGAGGAGGAGAUCUACAGGAGGAAGUGACGCUACAACAGACCCACAGACCCCCACAUUGACCAACCAACACAUAUAUGCUGAGUCAUCUGUUUAUGAGAACUUAAGAUAACCACCACAGAAACUGGACUGAAGAGAACCACCACAGAACCUGGACUGAAGAGAACCACCACAGAACCUGGACUGAAGAGAACCACCACAAAACAUGGACUAUGGCACCAAAGCUAAGUCUCUAUUGUUACUGUGUUGCCACAGUGUUUCCAGACAAAUUCAAACUUUAGACUAUAUUCUGUAGUUGAUAUAUUUGUCCUUGUAAUGACAAUGUUCUAUGCAAACAUCUGUUGUAAUAAAUUACAUUAUAUAUGUUCUUCUCUGUUUAGGUAUGUAUCAAAUGUGUUUGAUUAUGAUUCAGCUUUUGUUGUGAUUUUUGCCAUUCAUAUAUUCCUUUAGCUCUUUAGAGAUUGAUAUGGAUAAUACUGAUAACAGAAUUAAAUAUUGUUUGUUCCUGGACCACGUGCUAUUGAUUUGUUCACUGAUUUCAGGCAGACAUAUUUAUUAUAGUAAAAUGCCAAAU